This 427-nucleotide ribosomal RNA is filed under the name uncultured bacterium. RNAcentral's name for it is "partial 16S ribosomal RNA". It matches the Rfam family "Bacterial small subunit ribosomal RNA", at positions 354 to 796 of the family's 1533-position model. The record is from RNAcentral.
GUGAGGAAUCUUCCACAAUGGGGGCAACCCUGAUGGAGCAACGCCGCGUGCAGGAUGAAGGCCUUCGGGUUGUAAACUGCUUUUAUAAGUGAAGAAUAUGACGGUAACUUAUGAAUAAGGAUCGGCUAACUACGUGCCAGCAGCCGCGGUCAUACGUAGGAUCCGAGCGUUAUCCGGAGUGACUGGGCGUAAAGAGUUGCGUAGGCGGUUAGUAAAGCGAAUAGUGAAAUCUGGUGGCUCAACCAUUCAGGCUAUUAUUCGAACUCGCUAACUCGAGAGUGGUAGAGGUAACUGGAAUUUCUUGUGUAGGAGUGAAAUCCGUAGAUAUAAGAAGGAACACCAAUGGCGUAGGCAGGUUACUGGACCAUUUCUGACGCUAAGGCACGAAAGCGUGGGGAGCGAACCGGAUUAGAUACCCCGGUAGUCC